UACGGGGGGAGCAAGCGUUGUUCGGAAUUACUGGGCGUAAAGGGCGCGUAGGCGGUCUCGUAAGUCCUGUGUGAAAUCCCCCGGCUCAACUGGGGAACUGCACAGGAAACUGCGGGACUUGAGUUCGGGAGAGGGAAGCGGAAUUCCGGGUGUAGCGGUGAAAUGCGUAGAUAUCCGGAGGAACACCGGUGGCGAAGGCGGCUUCCUGGACCGACACUGACGCUGAGGCGCGAAAGCUAGGGGAGCAAACGGG
Molecule: ribosomal RNA, 253 nt
Filed under: uncultured bacterium
Lineage: Bacteria
Description: partial 16S ribosomal RNA
Rfam family: Bacterial small subunit ribosomal RNA
Source: RNAcentral